AUGUGAAGUCGGACCUGCCCAGUGAAUUUUUUUAACGGCCGCGGUACUCUGACCGUGCAAAGGUAGCAUAAUCAUUUGCCUUAUAAUUGAAGGCUGGAAUGAAUGGUUUGACAAGAGUGCAACUGUCUCUUUACGACUAAAUAGAAUUUUAUUUUUGGAUGAAAAAGUCCUAAUAAAAUUAAAAGACAAGAAGACCCUAUCGAGCUUGAAAGAAAUUAACAAAUAUAUAUGUACUAAUCUGAAAAUCAAAUUGUUAAAAAUUUUGGUUGGGGCAACCAAGGAGCAAAUAAAGCCUCCUUUAUUAAAUAAAGACAUUACUAGUCUUGAUCCAAAAAUUUUGAUUAAAGGAAAUAGUUACCGUAGGGAUAACAGCAUUAUCUUUUUUGAGAGCUCUUAUCGAAAAAAAGGUUUGUGACCUCGAUGUUGGACCAGAAUAUCCUAAAGAUGCAGAAGUCUUUAAGGGUUGGUCUAUUCGACCAUUAAAAUUCUA
RNAcentral lists this ribosomal RNA (490 nucleotides) under Conus sp. h NP-2014. RNAcentral describes it as "partial 16S ribosomal RNA". It matches the Rfam family "Bacterial large subunit ribosomal RNA", at positions 1845 to 2598 of the family's 2925-position model. The record is from RNAcentral. Lineage: Eukaryota; Metazoa; Mollusca; Gastropoda; Neogastropoda; Conidae.